RNAcentral lists this microRNA precursor (139 nucleotides) under Podarcis lilfordi (Lilford's wall lizard). Lineage: Eukaryota; Metazoa; Chordata; Lepidosauria; Squamata; Lacertidae. The record is from RNAcentral.
GGCAGGCUUCCUCAACCUCGGCCCUCCAGAUGUUUUUGGCCUACAACUCCUAUGAUCCUAGCUGGCAGGACCAGUGGUCAGGGAUGAUGGGAAUUGUAGUCUUAAAACAUCUGGAGGGCCGAGAUUGAGGAAGCCUGGU